UGGGGCUGUAGUCGGUCCCAAGGGUUGGGCUGUUCGCCCAUUAAAGCGGUACGCGAGCUGGGUUCAGAACGUCGUGAGACAGUUCGGUCCCUAUCCGUCGUGGGCGUAGGAAAUUUGAGAGGAGCUGUCCUUAGUACGAGAGGACCGGGAUGGACAUACCUCUGGUGUACCAGUUGUCGUGCCAACGGCAUAGCUGGGUAGCUAUGUAUGGACGGGAU
RNAcentral lists this ribosomal RNA (218 nucleotides) under Staphylococcus capitis. RNAcentral's name for it is "partial 23S ribosomal RNA". It matches the Rfam family "Bacterial large subunit ribosomal RNA", at positions 2548 to 2765 of the family's 2925-position model. Lineage: Bacteria; Bacillati; Bacillota; Bacilli; Caryophanales; Staphylococcaceae. The record is from RNAcentral.